RNAcentral lists this ribosomal RNA (484 nucleotides) under uncultured bacterium. RNAcentral describes it as "partial 16S ribosomal RNA". It matches the Rfam family "Bacterial small subunit ribosomal RNA", at positions 30 to 507 of the family's 1533-position model. The record is from RNAcentral.
AUUGAACGCUAGCGGGAUGCUUUACACAUGCAAGUCGAACGGCAGCGCGGACUUCGGUCUGGCGGCGAGUGGCGAACGGGUGAGUAAUGUAUCGGAACGUGCCCAGUAGCGGGGGAUAACUACGCGAAAGCGUAGCUAAUACCGCAUACGCCCUACGGGGGAAAGCAGGGGAUCGUAAGACCCUGCACUAUUGGAGCGGCCGAUAUCGGAUUAGCUAGUUGGUGAGGUAACGGCUCACCAAGGCGACGAUCCGUAGCUGGUUUGAGAGGACGACCAGCCACACUGGGACUGAGACACGGCCCAGACUCCUACGGGAGGCAGCAGUGGGGAAUUUUGGACAAUGGGGGCAACCCUGAUCCAGCCAUCCCGCGUGUGCGAUGAAGGCCUUCGGGUUGUAAAGCACUUUUGGCAGGAAAGAAACGUCGCGGGCUAAUACCCCGUGGAACUGACGGUACCUGCAGAAUAAGCACCGGCUAACUACGUG